UGGGGAAUUUUGGACAAUGGGCGAAAGCCUGAUCCAGCAAUGCCGCGUGUGUGAAGAAGGCCUUCGGGUUGUAAAGCACUUUUGUCCGGAAAGAAAUCCUUGGCUCUAAUACAGUCGGGGGAUGACGGUACCGGAAGAAUAAGCACCGGCUAACUACGUGCCAGCAGCCGCGGUAAUACGUAGGGUGCAAGCGUUAAUCGGAAUUACUGGGCGUAAAGCGUGCGCAGGCGGUUUGCUAAGACCGAUGUGAAAUCCCCGGGCUCAACCUGGGAACUGGCAAUUGGUGACUGGCAGGCUAGAGUAUGGCAGAGGGGGGUAGAAUUCCACGUGUAGCAGUGAAAUGCGUAGAGAUGUGGAGGAAUACCGAUGGCG
Molecule: ribosomal RNA, 372 nt
Filed under: uncultured bacterium
Lineage: Bacteria
Description: partial 16S ribosomal RNA
Rfam family: Bacterial small subunit ribosomal RNA
Source: RNAcentral